UUGUCCCAUUCUAGAGCUGAGAAGAGACAACAGGAAAGGGAAUCGCCUGCUAGUGUCGCGUCAGAUGUAUACAUGUCCACAAGUUGUUUAAGAAAAAGUAAGGUAAGAGGGAAUGAAAAGAAAUGAGAUAAAUAGACUCUAAGGUAUUUGGAGAUGCAAGGAGUGCAGCGUGACUUUUUCUAGUAGAUACGACUGUUGCACACAAAAGGCAAGAAGUCACCGAGUUCAAAACCAGAUGGACUGGUCUCUUCUGCGUUUCUGAGAAUAAAUUUAAGAGGACUACAACAGUUUGCUGCAACAGUUCUUCUCCAUGCUGGAUGGUUAUUCUUCAGACCUAAAAACGGUGUUUGGCAAGGAAGGCGACAUUCAAGGACAAAAGAUUAAGAGCAUCAUGUUUCCCAUAACGUAAGUAUGAUGAUGGAAAAAAACAUAGGAUCAAAUUUUAAAAAAUCUAUGUCGUAAUAUGUUAGUGACAGCUACUCCACUUAAAAUUGUUCCUUAAAAUAAAUUAAAAUAGUUUUUUUUAAAUGUGUGAUUACUUUGUUUGGCCUAAAGACUAACUCCAUUGAUGUCAGAAGAGUACAUCCUUAAAGCCCAGUGUGUGUUCCUCAAUGAAGAUCCUGGCAACCUUGUGAAAGAAUGGAUGGUAAGAAUGUUUUUUUUAUUUCAUGUAAAUUUAAAAUUUGAUAGUGAUUUAUAUAUGCUUUAAAAGUUGAAGUGUUAUAUAACAUCAUCCACUUUUUUAAUUUUACAUUUUAGAUCGUGGACGCCUUGAAGAAGCCAUGAUAGAGACAAUGCUACAAUGAAUGAGACAAAGAUGCAGAGGCAGAUGAUGACCCUGACGAUGUAGUCAUCGUUUCAAGUCCUGGACAAGUUGGGUAGUAUCCCACUUGCUGUGUUGUUGUUUGCUCCUGUAUACGCUCUUAAACUCAGCUACCCUCCACUAAAAGUUGUUUGAAAUAUUGGCACAAUGCUGUAUGUACAAUACUGGAUGUUAGUGACAUUUUGUAGCUGCCUUUGACAUUUGAAAGCUGUUUUAUCGUUUUUAUGAAGCUUAUAAAGUAUUCUAACCAGUCUAAAUCCAA
Betta splendens (Siamese fighting fish) is the source of this 1085-nucleotide long non-coding RNA. RefSeq lists it as uncharacterized. The record is from RefSeq and is a predicted model, not a curated record. NCBI's taxonomy places the organism in Eukaryota, Metazoa, Chordata, Actinopteri, Anabantiformes, Osphronemidae. The transcript has 2 exons.